Molecule: ribosomal RNA, 484 nt
Filed under: uncultured bacterium
Lineage: Bacteria
Description: partial 16S ribosomal RNA
Rfam family: Bacterial small subunit ribosomal RNA
Source: RNAcentral
AUUGAACGCUGGCGGCAUGCCUAACACAUGCAAGUCGAGCGGAUGAAGGGAGCUUUCUCCUGGAUUCAGCGGCGGACGGGUGAGUAAUGCCUAGGAAUCUGCCUGGUAGUGGGGGAUAACGUCCGGACACGGGCGCUAAUACCGCAUACGUCCUGAUGGAGAAAGUGGGGGAUCUUCGGACCUCACGCUAUCAGAUGAGCCUAGGUCGGAUUAGCUAGUUGGUGGGGUAAAGGCCUACCAAGGCGACGAUCCGUAACUGGUCUGAGAGGAUGAUCAGUCACACUGGAACUGAGACACGGUCCAGACUCCUACGGGAGGCAGCAGUGGGGAAUAUUGGACAAUGGGCGAAAGCCUGAUCCAGCCAUGCCGCGUGUGUGAAGAAGGUCUUCGGAUUGUAAAGCACUUUAAGUUGGGAGGAAGGGCAGUAAGUUAAUACCUUGCUGUCUUGACGUUACCAACAGAAUAAGCACCGGCUAACUUCGUG